UUAAAUGAGAGUUUGAUCCUGGCUCAGGACGAACGCUGGCGGCGUGCCUAAUACAUGCAAGUAGAACGCUGACUACUUUAGCUUGCUAGAGUAGAAGGAGUUGCGAACGGGUGAGUAACACGUAGGUAACCUGCCUACUAGCGGGGGAUAACUAUUGGAAACGAUAGCUAAUACCGCAUAACAGUGUUUAACACAUGUUAGAUGCUUGAAAGAUGCAAUUGCAUCACUAGUAGAUGGACCUG
This 242-nucleotide ribosomal RNA is filed under the name Streptococcus macedonicus. Its description in RNAcentral is "partial 16S ribosomal RNA". It matches the Rfam family "Bacterial small subunit ribosomal RNA", at positions 1 to 233 of the family's 1533-position model. Lineage: Bacteria; Bacillati; Bacillota; Bacilli; Lactobacillales; Streptococcaceae. The record is from RNAcentral.